This 136-nucleotide unclassified non-coding RNA is filed under the name uncultured Mortierella. RNAcentral describes it as "sequence contains ITS1". The record is from RNAcentral. Lineage: Eukaryota; Fungi; Mortierellomycota; Mortierellomycetes; Mortierellales; Mortierellaceae.
UAAUAAGUGUUUUAUGGCACUUUUUAAAUCCAUAUCCACCUUGUGUGCAAUGUCAGUCGAUCUUCUUCAUGGAGAUCGGCCAAACAUCAACCUUAUCUUUUAACUCUUUGUCUGAAAAAUAUUUUAAUAAAAAUUA